Oryctolagus cuniculus (rabbit) is the source of this 2199-nucleotide non-coding RNA. The record is from RefSeq and is a predicted model, not a curated record. Lineage: Eukaryota; Metazoa; Chordata; Mammalia; Lagomorpha; Leporidae.
GAGCCAGGCUAAUAUAUGCUAAGAUAUGCUAAUGCAAGGCGCGCCCGCCGCCUCCUUAAAGGGACCACGCCGGGGACGCGGGAAUCCCCGCCCGGCAGCCCCUCCGCGGCCUGCGGGACUCGGCAGAGCAGGAAGCGGACGGGGCAAGCCCAUCGGGAGAAAAUCCUGGAUUUUUUGCUGGUUCUUCAAGGAGGCGGGGGGAGCAGCAGUAGGAAGCACAAGUUGGGACCCUGCAGAAGAUCCACCUGGAUGCCCACCCAGCAAGGGAUCCUGGUGGCCUGAGACCCUGCAGACUGCAGACAUGGUGCAUGCUGGGAUUGCAUCGUCGGCAGCUCCACGGACGCUGGGGCCCGAAUCACCCAGGAGCCGGGUGAGACCACGACCUCCCGGCCUCGUCACGGAGGCCUUGGCCUUUCCUCCCGAGGACCUGGCCUCCUGCACCCCUCCUUUUCCAGAGGAUGAAAAUGUCCUGUAAUACCCAGUGGCUGCGCAGCUGUGAAUAUAUUGAAACUUAAAAAACAAUGUAUUUGAGAAGUGGAGAGAAACAGAGACAGAGUGACAUUUUCCACCUGCUGUUUCACUCCCCCAGAUGUCUGUGAGGGCCAGGGCUGGGCUGGGCGGAAGCCAGGAGCCAGGAUCUCCAUCCAAGCCUCGCGUGGCAGCAGCCCCUGGCUCCCCUGGGCACUGACCCGGCCCCGCUGGGUUCAUCAGGAGCCGCCCAUCCCCUUUCCUGGAACUCAAAGAAGCAGCAGAAACGAUGGGAUGCGCUCGGCUUGUUGGCUUCUCUACUGCUUGGCAGCUGCUGACGGCCACUCCCGCUCUGGGGACCUUUGCAGUGACCUGGCCCCUGGCCAUCCCUCCACUGCCCGGCAGCGAGCCAAAGGCCCCAACUGGUGCGACGUUUACUGCAGGGGCUGAGCCCAAAGACCCAAAAGAGGAGGGAGGAGCCUGCUGCCGCCGUGCUCCGUCAGCUCCUCAGGGAGGAGGGAGCCGGGAGAGCCGGGGAGCACCUGUUCUCCCAGCCAUCCCCGGGAUCCCCAGGUCCCACAGAAGGGCUGUGUCCUGGAGAGAGGUCUGCUGGGAUCACAUGACGCUCUGAAAACCAACCAUCCCGAGGGCCGCCUGCGAAUCCUGCCAGCGGUCUCACAGGUGGAGGUGUGAGUGACUGAGAGAUCAUGGGGAAGGCGGCAAAAAGUCAGGAAAUGGACAAGCAAGGGAAAAGAAUUUGCAACCCACAUCACACAGAGCUCAUCACCCUCAUAUACAAGUGGCUCCUGAAAUCAACAAGACCAGCAAUUCAGGCACUUGGAGCUUUCCCAGGAAGCCUGCAGGCAGACACCAGGACCGAUCGCUUCUUGAAGACAAACCAACCCCACUCGGUGGAAACCGCCCGCUGCAAUCGGCCUCGACUGAGGUUUCAGCCUUCUCGGCAGCACGUGGCCACCGAGCACAUCACUCCCAUGUUUCUUGUCCUCUCCUUGUUCGCAGCACUCCCACCAGGUUCUGAGGAUCAGAACUCCCAUCAGGGCUAAGGCCUAAAGACCUGGACAGGCUGCAUCUGACCGAGCAGGGUGCUCGCCUGGGCCACACACGACCUUGGCACAGAGACGCCAAGCACAGGAUGACUGGCCAAACAGCAACCUUGCUAAAAACAGCAGAUGAAACGCUGGAGAUUACACUGUCCUGGGGAGCAUGUAGAAAAGGACUCGGAUUUUGCUGGCCAGGAGCCCCUUCCAGAAGGCAGCUGCUGUGUGGAGACCGGGGGUGCGCGUACCUCUCGCCAGGACCCUGCGCUCGUGUCUGCACAAGGAUCCUCACUGUGGCAGGGAGACCACGAGCACCCAAGGGGCAACCAGCGGGAAGGGGAAUGAAACCCCAGUGCAGCCCAACUGCACGCAGCAGGUGUGCGGGGUGCGCUGGCGUGUGUAGGUGCAGACACCACGUGCAGUGGAUGGAAGGAGGUGGGUCUGAGCGCUGACACAGCACUGCCCCGACUGUGCAGCGCAGGUGCGUACGGCGUGUGAAGCACCCGCCUGUGGCGUGCCUGCAGCCACGUGGAGGGCCUUGGUGGGAGGGGGCAGGCAGAGCAGGGGUGGCUCUUGCUCUGCCCCACCUGGGCACCUGCGGCACUUCCAAGCUGCUCCAGUCCUCCUGCCCUCGGUGCUGGGUGCCCCAGCCCAGGCCCACCUUCUGUGGCCC